This 750-nucleotide ribosomal RNA is filed under the name uncultured bacterium. RNAcentral describes it as "bacterial SSU rRNA". It matches the Rfam family "Bacterial small subunit ribosomal RNA", at positions 43 to 783 of the family's 1533-position model. The record is from RNAcentral.
CAGGCCUAACACAUGCAAGUCGAGCGGACUUAUCCUUCGGGAUAGGUUAGCGGCGGACGGGUGAGUAACACGUAGGCAACCUGCCUGUAAGAUCGGGAUAACUACCGGAAACGGUAGCUAAGACCGGGUAGCUGGUUUCUCCGCAUGGGGGAAUCAUGAAACACGGGGCAACCUGUGGCUUACGGAUGGGCCUGCGGCGCAUUAGCUAGUUGGUGGGGUAACGGCCCACCAAGGCGACGAUGCGUAGCCGACCUGAGAGGGUGAUCGGCCACACUGGGACUGAGACACGGCCCAGACUCCUACGGGAGGCAGCAGUAGGGAAUCUUCCGCAAUGGGCGCAAGCCUGACGGAGCAACGCCGCGUGAGUGAUGAAGGUUUUCGGAUCGUAAAGCUCUGUUGCCAAGGAAGAACGCCUCGGAGAGUAACUGCUCUGAGGGUGACGGUACUUGAGAAGAAAGCCCCGGCUAACUACGUGCCAGCAGCCGCGGUAAUACGUAGGGGGCAAGCGUUGUCCGGAAUUAUUGGGCGUAAAGCGCGCGCAGGCGGUCUUUUAAGUUUGGUGUUUAAGCCCGGGGCUCAACCCCGGUUCGCACUGAAAACUGGGAGACUUGAGUGCAGGAGAGGAAAGCGGAAUUCCACGUGUAGCGGUGAAAUGCGUAGAGAUGCGGAGGAACACCAGUGGCGAAGGCGGCUUUCUGGACUGUAACUGACGCUGAGGCGCGAAAGCGUGGGGGGCAAACAGGAUUAGAU